Molecule: ribosomal RNA, 253 nt
Filed under: uncultured bacterium
Lineage: Bacteria
Description: partial 16S ribosomal RNA
Rfam family: Bacterial small subunit ribosomal RNA
Source: RNAcentral
UACGGGGGGGGGAAGCGUUGUUCGGAAUUACUGGGCGUAAAGGGCUCGUAGGCGGCCAACUAAGUCAUACGUGAAAUCCCUCAGCUUAACUGGGGAACUGCGUGUGAUACUGGAUGGCUUGGAUUUGGGAGAGGGAUGCGGAAUUCCAGGUGUAGCGGUGAAAUGCGUAGAUAUCUGGAGGAACACCAAUGGCGAAGGCAGCUCGCUGGGACGGUACUGACGCUGAGACGCGAAAGCGUGGGGAGCAAACAGG